Molecule: ribosomal RNA, 379 nt
Filed under: uncultured eukaryote
Lineage: Eukaryota
Description: partial 18S ribosomal RNA
Rfam family: Eukaryotic small subunit ribosomal RNA
Source: RNAcentral
CAAUAGCGUAUAUUAAAGUUGUUGCAGUUAAAAAGCUCGUAGUUGAACUUCAGACCUGGCCGGGCGGUCUGCCUCACGGUAUGUACUGUCUGGCUGGGUCUUACCUCUUGGUGAGCCGGCAUGCUCUUUACUGGGUGUGUCGGGGAACCAGGACUUUUACCUUGAGAAAAUUAGAGUGUUCAAAGCAGGCCUUUGCCCGAAUACAUUAGCAUGGAAUAAUAAAAUAGGACGUGCGGUUCUAUUUUGUUGGUUUCUAGAGUCGCCGUAAUGAUUAAUAGGGAUAGUUGGGGGCAUUAGUAUUCAGUUGCUAGAGGUGAAAUUCUUGGAUUUACUGAAGACUAACUAUUGCGAAAGCAUUUGCCAAGGAUGUUUUCAUUAA